Molecule: transfer RNA, 83 nt
Filed under: Eubacteriales bacterium
Lineage: Bacteria; Bacillati; Bacillota; Clostridia; Eubacteriales
Description: tRNA-Leu
Rfam family: tRNA
About the family: Transfer RNA (tRNA) molecules are approximately 80 nucleotides in length. Their secondary structure includes four short double-helical elements and three loops (D, anti-codon, and T loops).
Source: RNAcentral
GCCGGUGUGAUGGAAUGGUAGACGUAGCGGAUUCAAAAUCCGCCGAUGGCGACAUCGUGUGGGUUCGAGUCCCACCACCGGCA